UAAGAGAAACUACCAGGAUUUGUCAGGACACACUGAAGGAGUUUGCUGGAAAAGCAGUUUUUCCUGGAACACCGGCCAUGAAGUGAAAGAGAAAAUAAACAGUACCCCAAAAAUACCCCAAAGCCAAAAGAGGAACAGUAUAGUGUCGCAAUAGUGAUGUGUAAGUCUGUUGUUUGCUAAACAGGGAAAUAAACGGAGCAUAUGAAUCUGAUCAGUGUUUCAGUCGGAGCGAAUCCCUCUUCAGACGCUCUUCACUCUCUCCAGUGUGUUUGACAGAUCUGAACACACACACACACACACACACACACACACACACACACACGGACGACCUUAUCCAGCAGUGUCUCUGAUCAGUGUUUGACUUCAUCCUUCAGUCCAGCCAGUUACAGCAACAGACAUGGGAUCAGGGUCGUCUUCAGGACCAGAGAUGCCUCAACCGCAAUUCAAAGCUUUUUGUGACGAACUGCAACGGCGCAUUGAUGAACUGAACAAAAAUUAUCAAACUCUCACUGUUGAAAUACAGAAACCUGAACUUGAUGUAGAUCUGACUGGUGAUGCUGUUAGAAAUGUACAAUUAAGCAUGAAGAAGAUGAUUGAGGAUCUGACAAAAAAUCAAAAUAAUGAAAUACGGAAUAGAGUGGAAUCUGUGAUGACGAGAAUGAAAAAAACUCUCGAACUGCAUAAGAAACUAAACGGCUCAAUCGAUACUCUAUUGCGAAGUCUUAACAAUUACAAAGUCAACGGACAACACAAGUCAAAAGCAGAAGACAUCAGAUCAGAAACUUUGAAAUUGAGUCCUCAGAUGAAAGAAAUAGCAGCUCAAUUUCAGAAGAUUUUGAAUGAAAUUAAACAUGGCUAAAAAUAAAUUAACAAAUUCAUUUAAAAUCAGUUUAGAAAUGACUGGACUGAUCUGUGUGGUUUUAUCAUCAAUAUAAUACAGUCAAAGCGAAUCCCUCUAAUCUGACAUCUUUAAAGAUGUGUGCGUUUAAUGAUGUAUAAAUCAUGCAGAAAGUGUUCAGUCUUUCAAAGCAGUGAAUUCUGAAUUAUAGAAGUUUAUAUUCUGGGAUUUUCUACUGUAGAUCUGAUGAUUUCAGAGAAACUCACAUUACAGCAGAGGUUUCCUCUUAUCAGAAAAUACAGUGACAGAAAAAUGUACUUUCUUUCUUUUUUUACAUUGAUGUUGUAAUAUGUGAUUAAAUUACUCUGGUUGUCAUCUAGAUUUGAAAGAUUUUAUUUUAUUUUUGAUGAGAAACUGUUUGCAUGUUCAAUCAAACUUUUGUUCUUGUUUUUAUGACAUUGGAUAAACUUGUAAAACUUUGUCCUAAAUGAAUCACUUACUCUGGAGUUUAGAUUCUGUUUAUUUCUUGUGAAAUUCUUCAGGUAUUCAUAUUAAUUGCCCUUUUUGUUUUAUAUGCUACUGUACUGUAGAAUAAACUCAAUGAUCAUGCUGAUGUCAAGACAUUUA
Molecule: non-coding RNA, 1465 nt
Organism: Pimephales promelas (fathead minnow)
Lineage: Eukaryota; Metazoa; Chordata; Actinopteri; Cypriniformes; Leuciscidae
Source: RefSeq, a predicted model, not a curated record